Molecule: long non-coding RNA, 1260 nt
Filed under: Cicer arietinum (chickpea)
Lineage: Eukaryota; Viridiplantae; Streptophyta; Magnoliopsida; Fabales; Fabaceae
Description: long non-coding RNA (CARI_LNC001743)
Source: RNAcentral
UUUAUGGUAAAUGUUAUGAUAUUCGAAGUGAAUAGAAUCAUUGACCUUUUUAUCACUUAAUUAUUUUAUUAUCUAUUUUUUAGUCUUUUUCAUAUGGAAUGACUCCCUCCUAUAAAUUUGCUUUAAGCAUCAGAAUAAUACCAAGAAAAUAUAUAUAUUUGCAUUUUAACAAUAGUUUUAAAGUGUAACCACAACCACAAUUAUAAUUACAAUAUUGAAGUCUUAAAAAGGUCUCUUGCAAAUUACAGUGGUAUCAGUCAUUUUUGUCUUUAAUUUUCCAUCAUUUCAAAAAUUGUGAUGCAACUACACCCGCAAUUUAAAACCUUAUACUUGUAAUAAUAUUUCUUUUGAGAGUCCUUUUGAAAAUUUAAUUUGAAUAUUAAAAGGUGAUUGAUACGUAUGUAUUUUUUAUCUACUUUUUCAAUUCCCUAACAAGUUGGAAGCUUGAUAUAUAUGAUAUAUCUUUGUCUUUGGAGGGGUAAUAUAUAUAUAUGCUCCAUUGUUAAUGAAAUAACAACCCUCAAAAUGUUGAUUGUCCUUCAUUGAAGGUACCAAUCCAAUCUACAUAAGCUAAUCCAACAGCGAGAAUAUGGAGGAAGAAGAAAAUGAAGAGGAUGAAGACAAAUGUGUUGAGGUCUUGAAUAUAAUGCUUCUCUCCUUUUGAAGAAAGGAGCAUUAAUUAAAAGGCAAUUCAUAGUGAGGCUAAGGGAAGGCUAAGCCUUUCUUCCAGGUUCAAUUCUAGAGACAGCUACACCAAAGUUUGUUUAGUGUUGUAUCUCUUUCAGCUCAUUCUUUAAACUCAGAAAUCAUGCAUGGUAUAUCCAAAUAGAUGUAUGUGUAUGUGAAGAAGGCAAGCAGCAGAAACAGAAACAGAGAUAGUAAUGUUUACCUCUGUUUUUGCUGGAAGCCAUGAAUAAAAUUGUAAACUGUUUGUUUGUUGGCACAUAGAUAGAAAACUUAAGUGUUUUCCAGUGUCGGCAUUAGCCUUGUGCUGUAAAAAUUUAGGUACAUGUCAUGUAAUGUUUGUUGUCUAUGAUUUUUUCGAUUUGUGUAAUGUGGCAGGUCCAUUUGUUGUCUAUGAUACUUGUGGUCCAUAUGCGAAGAUUUAUGUAAUCAAUUAUGUUCAAAUAAUUAAUAAAUUUCAGUGAAGAUCGAAUCAAUUGUGGAUACUGACUUUGAACUAUUGCAACAAUCUUUGGCUAGAGUUUAGUUAACUCUUAGCCAAACUCCAGAUGACUACUAUCUCUUCUCCUAAAAAUC